UCUCUCUCUCUCUCUCUCUCUCUCUCACCCCCUCCCUCAUCCCUUCAUUUCUCCACUUACUGUAAAACAAGGCCUCUUUUUGUCCAGAGCCUCAUCAGACUCACAUGUUUCAGAAGAGAGGGAACGGAUAGGUGGAACAGAGGAAGAAAAGGAGUGAAGGAGAAGAAAGUGAUCUAAGAAAGCUCAGACUCUUGUGGACACUGAAGGCCAGGCUUUUGAGAUCUGAAGUCUAAAGAAAGCUGAGAGGAUUUUAGAUGCAAAUAAUAAUAAGAAGAAGGACGAGAUUCCAGAAGUGGACUUAGAGCUGGAGUUAUAGCUCUUGGAUUUAGAACAUCAGUGGACCAUGGAGAACGGCAAAGUGGAAGAGUAGACCAUGAACAAGGCAAUUAAAAGGUUUACAAGCCAAUGAAACAGUAGCUUAGCCCCGCCCAUUGCAGUGGAAAAAAGACAGCAACCUAGACAUUAGGGCAUGGCAGCACUAGAGCAAGCAAGGCAAAAUGCAGACGGACACAUGGAUGAUACAGACUUGCACAUGAUUCAGGUAGAGAAAUCUGUAGCUUCCUUUAGUGCCUCUUUUACUGCUCUCUCUCUCUCUCUAUCUCUAAUGGCUUUCACAUGAUCACAUCCUUGAUUUGUUAGUGUGUGUGUGUGUGUGUGUAGUGGGGACGGUCAUGUAGGCCACCAUUCAAGUAAAUUGAUUCACUUAUCUCCUCAUUUCUGAGGUCACUGAGGACACACACACACACACAUAUAAACACACACAUAAACACACUUAAAUCAUUGCUGUUCAAAUCACAGACAAUGAGUCUUAAUGGCGAGAGUGUGACUGAAUUGUAGCCACAUUUAGCUUGACCCUCUGCUACUAUAAUCACAUUAAAGUACACGUCCUGCACACACACACACACACACACACAAAAACACAUACACACGUGUGCUCCAGAGGAAGAAUCAGAACUUUGUUUAGUGGAGAAGCUGAUUUGUGAGAAGACAGUGACCUUCUGAAAAAUACUCCUUCUGUUCAGCAUCUGAGCAACCUUACACACACACACACACACUCUCACACACACACACACACACACACACACACACACAGACUGCUCAUGAGCUCAUGACUGCGGUAAAGCAUCAGGAGAUGUGUAAGACCUGAGAA
This 1150-nucleotide long non-coding RNA is filed under the name Astyanax mexicanus (Mexican tetra). Its description in RNAcentral is "lncRNA (ENSAMXG00005015857.1)". Lineage: Eukaryota; Metazoa; Chordata; Actinopteri; Characiformes; Acestrorhamphidae. The record is from RNAcentral.